This is an RNA transcript of Arabidopsis thaliana (thale cress), 687 nucleotides long. RefSeq lists it as uncharacterized. The transcript has a single exon. NCBI's taxonomy places the organism in Eukaryota, Viridiplantae, Streptophyta, Magnoliopsida, Brassicales, Brassicaceae. The record is from RefSeq.
CUGAUUUCCGAAUUAUUCAGUCAGGUUAUAUAAAGUUAUGUGUGUUUAGAGAUGAAGCAAAGAGAUGGAGUAAUAGAUUCUCGAAUCUUUUGAUUGUUUUCUUACUUUAUACCACCAAAACAAAAUUGACAUUGGAGACGUAUCCGUAGAUGUACAUGUAUGCAUACAUAUACACGUGGUUAUUUCAUCACUAAUUAAUAUAUGGGCAGAGAAAAAUGCCUUGGAAAAACAAAUAGAUGAAAUUGACAACAAUCAAUAGUAGUAUGUUAUGGAUGAAAGAAAGAAAAGAGAGUAACCCACAACGAUGUAACUUUUUCAGUGUAAUAAAAAAGCAGUUUGACGACAAAAAAAAAGGGUUAACAAUUGUUGGAUUAUUGCAUGAUGACACGUGUUAGUGUUGCGAGUGUGAAGCGUAUCACGGUGGAAUGAGGUGUGACAUCAUUUGAACGGUUGAUAACUAACCACUAACCACAAUCGUAUCACUUUUUUUCUUUUUGUUAAUCAUAGUAUUUGAUUGAUUGAUUUAUAAUUCUGUGUAUUUUUUGACGUUAAAACUAAGGUGUAUGAGAGAUUUUUAAAAGUGUACAGUUUCGUGUUUACUAUUCUCUGCGAUGUCGAUUGCCGAUUCUAGUAGGUUUUUUUUCCGGCAAACCAAAUCUCAAUCAAGCAAAGUGUCCAUGGUACGAU